Tupaia belangeri chinensis (Chinese tree shrew) is the source of this 1428-nucleotide long non-coding RNA. RefSeq lists it as uncharacterized. The record is from RefSeq and is a predicted model, not a curated record. NCBI's taxonomy places the organism in Eukaryota, Metazoa, Chordata, Mammalia, Scandentia, Tupaiidae. The transcript is spliced from 3 exons.
GGCUCUCCUGGAGCAAGAUGGCGGCGCGCAGGUGCUGGCCGUACGCCCGUCGGAGGUUUCCGGCCUCCCCUGCUAGGGGGUUUGCUCAACCGUUCCGCCCUUCCGGGUGUGUGUGGGGUGGCUGCAGUUUCAGUCCCGCAUUUUGGGCUCGCUGCAGAACUUGUAGUCAGCCAAAACCUGAUGUAAACUCUCGGGUCCGUCGCCAAUCGAAAGAGAGCAUUGGUAUUGGCCGCGGUUUGCGCUGGCCCGGCGCCAGCCGUUGCGCACGCGCUCUCCGCGCUCCUCGCUGGAACUCCCCGAGGGCGUACUCGCGAGGGUUUGAGAUGUACUCGCAAGGUGUGGGCGCCCUCCUCCAGCAAAGGAAGCAGACGUGAGGUUCGGGGACUUUAUGAAGUCAGUCAGCGGGAAGGCCAGCCAGUAGUGUGAUGAAGGCAGCUGGCUCCCACCAGACAGACUGUGGCUUGGAAAACACACUGGACCCGUGUGACUGCGUGCUCAAAGUCCCGAGAGCAGAAUGGAGGGAGUGCGCGUGGCCACCCCACCAGGGUGUGCUUUUUCACUUAGCUCUCAGGGAAAGAUAAUUCAGAACCGUGACCCAGAGGAGAGGAAACGACAGCCUGCACGGACGUCCUGCACAACUGCUAGCUCUCGCUCCGUCCUGUGCCACAGCAGUGGCUUUCCAUCGGGGGACUCUGUCCCCAGGGCACAUUGGACAACAUCUGGAGACAUCUCUGGCAGCAGCGACUGUGGAGAAGUAGGUACUCCGUUGAGUGGGCAGGGCCCAAGGACAUGCUCAGCUGCCCCCACCUACCUGGCCCAGGCCCAGAGCGCCAGCACAGACAGUAGCAGGGCACUGCGGCCCAAUCCUGGAGCCACCAAGGAGGCCUCCAGGCUUGCUUUCGGGAACACUGUUGUCCUGGCUGGCUGCAGGGCUUGGGGCAGGACUGUGGCAUGAAAUUCCAUCGAGGGUGCCUGUCUCUGUCUCUCUUUUUAAUUUGCCAGAAGUGCACAUGGUCACUGGAGACAAAGAGAAAGUGGGAACGCACCCCUCGUGGGGAAUGGUCACACUGCAAUCCCUCCACGUCUCCCUCUUGGGAGUCUGGGCUCGCACGUCCAGAGGUUUUCUCAAACUGCAGUGUCCGGGACUUGAACUGUGGGGCUGGCCAAGUGGGAUCCAGAGGCCUUAACCACCAUGGCUCAGGCUGGGCCCUCUCUCGAUAUGAACAAAAACUGAGACGUAAAAAGAUCUAGCUCACAUUGUCGAUAGUGCCUGCUUUAAAAUUCUGCUGUGUAGGAACUACUCGGAAUCCCUACCUUUCUAACACCAAAUUUCAUGACGGUAACCAGUUCACGUGACACAUGUCUUUUCCGACAAAGUGGAGGCAGUUUGUGGUUAUAAACUGGAACAGACAGGCCCAUCUCCGUUCU